RNAcentral lists this ribosomal RNA (392 nucleotides) under uncultured bacterium. Its description in RNAcentral is "bacterial SSU rRNA". It matches the Rfam family "Bacterial small subunit ribosomal RNA", at positions 28 to 408 of the family's 1533-position model. The record is from RNAcentral.
GACGAACGCUGGCGGCGUGCUUAACACAUGCAAGUCGAGCGGUAAGGCCUCUUCGGGGGUACACGAGCGGCGAACGGGUGAGUAACACGUGGGCGACCUACCCUCAGCUCUGGGAUAAGCCUGGGAAACUGGGUCUAAUACCGGAUAGGACCGCAUGUCGCAUGGUGUGUGGUGGAAAGUUUGUUCUUAAUUGGACACUUCGGCUGGGGAUGGGCCCGCGGCCUAUCAGCUUGNGGUGGGGUGAUGGCCUACCAAGGCGACGACGGGUAGCCGGCCUGAGAGGGCGACCGGCCACACUGGGACUGAGAUACGGCCCAGACUCCUACGGGAGGCAGCAGUGGGGAAUAUUGCGCAAUGGGCGGAAGCCUGACGCAGCGACGCCGCGUGGGGGA